AUUGAACGCUGGCGGCAGGCUUAACACAUGCAAGUCGAGCGGUUGACGGGAGCUUGCUCCCUGAUUCAGCGGCGGACGGGUGAGUAAUGCCUAGGAAUCUGCCUAUUAGUGGGGGACAACGUUUCGAAAGGAACGCUAAUACCGCAUACGUCCUACGGGAGAAAGCAGGGGACCUUCGGGCCUUGCGCUAAUAGAUGAGCCUAGGUCGGAUUAGCUUGUUGGUGAGGUAAUGGCUCACCAAGGCGACGAUCCGUAACUGGUCUGAGAGGAUGAUCAGUCACACUGGAACUGAGACACUGUCCAGACUCCUACGGGAGGCAGCAGUGGUGAAUAUUGGACAAUGGGCGAAAGCCUGAUCCAGCCAUGCCGCGUGUGUGAAGAAGGUCUUCGGAUUGUAAAGCACUUUAAGUUGGGAGGAAGGGUUGUAGAUUAAUACUCUGCAAUUUUGACGUUACCGACAGAAUAAGCACCGGCUAACUCUGUGCCAGCCGCCGCCGUAA
Molecule: ribosomal RNA, 500 nt
Filed under: uncultured bacterium
Lineage: Bacteria
Description: partial 16S ribosomal RNA
Rfam family: Bacterial small subunit ribosomal RNA
Source: RNAcentral